RNAcentral lists this ribosomal RNA (546 nucleotides) under uncultured bacterium. Its description in RNAcentral is "partial 16S ribosomal RNA". It matches the Rfam family "Bacterial small subunit ribosomal RNA", at positions 355 to 892 of the family's 1533-position model. The record is from RNAcentral.
UGGGGAAUUUUGGACAAUGGGCGAAAGCCUGAUCCAGCAAUGCCGCGUGUGUGAAGAAGGCCUUCGGGUUGUAAAGCACUUUUGUCCAGAAAGAAAUCCUUGGCUCUAAUACAGUCGGGGGAUGACGGUACCGGAAGAAUAAGCACCGGCUAACUACGUGCCAGCAGCCGCGGUAAUACGUAGGGUGCAAGCGUUAAUCGGAAUUACUGGGCGUAAAGCGUGCGCAGGCGGUUUGCUAAGACCGAUGUGAAAUCCCCGGGCUCAACCUGGGAACUGCAUUGGUGACUGGCAGGCUAGAGUAUGGCAGAGGGGGGUAGAAUUCCACGUGUAGCAGUGAAAUGCGUAGAGAUGUGGAGGAAUACCGAUGGCGAAGGCAGCCCCCUGGGCCAAUACUGACGCUCAUGCACGAAAGCGUGGGGAGCAAACAGGAUUAGAUACCCCUGGUAGUCCACGCCCUAAAACGAUGUCAACUAGUUGUUGGGGAUUCAUUUCCUUAGUAACGUAGCUAACGCGUGAAGUUGACCGCCUGGGGAGUACGGUCGCAAG